GACGAACGCUGGCGGCGUGCCUAAUACAUGCAAGUUGAGCGCUGAAGGUUGGUACUUGUACCAACUGGAUGAGCAGCGAACGGGUGAGUAACGCGUGGGGAAUCUGCCUUUGAGCGGGGGACAACAUUUGGAAACGAAUGCUAAUACCGCAUAAAAACUUUAAACACAAGUUUUAAGUUUGAAAGAUGCAAUUGCAUCACUCAAAGAUGAUCCCGCGUUGUAUUAGCUAGUUGGUGAGGUAAAGGCCCACCAAGGCGAUGAUACAUAGCCGACCUGAGAGGGUGAUCGGCCACAUUGGGACUGAGACACGGCCCAAACUCCUACGGGAGGCAGCAGUAGGGAAUCUUCGGCAAUGGACGAAAGUCUGACCGAGCAACGCCGCGUGAGUGAAGAAGGUUUUCGGAUCGUAAAACUCUGUUGGUAGAGAAGAACGUUGGUGAGAGUGGAAAGCUCAUCAAGUGACGGUAACUACCCAGAAAGGGACGGCCAACUACGUG
RNAcentral lists this ribosomal RNA (497 nucleotides) under uncultured bacterium. Its description in RNAcentral is "partial 16S ribosomal RNA". It matches the Rfam family "Bacterial small subunit ribosomal RNA", at positions 28 to 507 of the family's 1533-position model. The record is from RNAcentral.